GUGUGUGGGCUCAAGGCCCUGCUGUCUAGGCCAGCUGCAUCCCCGUGAGUGUGCGUCGGACCGGGGUCCUGGUUCGGGUUCGUGCCGUUUCAUAACAAUAAUUUAAAAAAAACAACCAAAAAAAAAAAAAAAGACCUUCGUGCCACCGCGCGAGGCGGAGGGGGAAGUUCCCAAAUUUCCCUGGGAGCUGCCGGGCCCGCUCCCGUGACGCGGCCGUGACGUCACCGCCCCCGCCCCUCCCCUCCCCGGCGCUGGCCAGGCGGCAGCGGGCGCGUCCCUCCGCCAGAGUCCACCCCGCGCGGCACGGAGCGAGCCUCACGAGCGCCACAGCCUCACAGCCUGCCCGCACGCGCGUCCACCCCCCGGGAGCAGCGAGCAGGGCGCGAGGCGGAGCCCGCGAGGAGAGCGAGGGAGAGAGCGAGCGAGCAGAGCGGAGCCUCGAGACGCCGGGAAGUCUUUGUGUUCCGGCCGCUUCUUCACUCGUCUGGAGGAACGAGGAAGCAGGAAGUUUCUGUUCGGCUGUCCCCGGAGUUUGGAUUCCCGCUGCUCUCGGAGCCGAGCCGAGCCGAGCCGAGCCGGACCGGACCGGACCGCACCGGCGCGAUGGCGAGACCGCUGUCCAGGGAGGGCGCGCUGACCGCGCUGGCCAGCCUGCUGCUUGUCCAAGUGGUGGGGUGCCAGUAC
Molecule: non-coding RNA, 684 nt
Organism: Lepisosteus oculatus (spotted gar)
Lineage: Eukaryota; Metazoa; Chordata; Actinopteri; Semionotiformes; Lepisosteidae
Source: RefSeq, a predicted model, not a curated record